RNAcentral lists this ribosomal RNA (56 nucleotides) under Oncorhynchus nerka (sockeye salmon). RNAcentral describes it as "partial 5.8S ribosomal RNA". The record is from RNAcentral. Lineage: Eukaryota; Metazoa; Chordata; Actinopteri; Salmoniformes; Salmonidae.
GCGUGCAAUGAAAAACAAUAAUACAACUCUUAGCGGUGGAUCACUCGGCUUGAAUC